CGGGGCGUAGCGCAGACAGGUCAGCGCGCCUGCUUCGGGAGCAGGAGGUCCCCGGUUCAAAUCCGGGCGCCCCGACCA
Molecule: transfer RNA, 78 nt
Filed under: Bacillota bacterium
Lineage: Bacteria; Bacillati; Bacillota
Also listed under: 2 other names
Description: tRNA-Pro
Rfam family: tRNA
About the family: Transfer RNA (tRNA) molecules are approximately 80 nucleotides in length. Their secondary structure includes four short double-helical elements and three loops (D, anti-codon, and T loops). Further hydrogen bonds mediate the characteristic L-shaped molecular structure. tRNAs have two regions of fundamental functional importance: the anti-codon, which is responsible for specific mRNA codon recognition, and the 3' end, to which the tRNAs corresponding amino acid is attached (by aminoacyl-tRNA synthetases). tRNAs cope with the degeneracy of the genetic code in two manners: having more than one tRNA (with a specific anti-codon) for a particular amino acid; and 'wobble' base-pairing, i.e. permitting non-standard base-pairing at the 3rd anti-codon position.
Source: RNAcentral